UGGGUGAUCUGCCCUGCACUUUGGGAUAAGCCUGGGAAACUGGGUCUAAUACCGAAUACACCUCAUGGAUUGCAUGGUUUGUGGGGGAAAGCUUUUGCGGUGUGGGAUGGGCCCGCGGCCUAUCAGCUUGUUGGUGAGGUUACGGCUCACCAAGGCGACGACGGGUAGCCGGCCUGAGAGGGUGUCCCGGCCACACUGGGACUGAGAUACCGGCCCAGACCUCCGUACGGGGAGCA
Molecule: ribosomal RNA, 236 nt
Filed under: uncultured bacterium
Lineage: Bacteria
Description: partial 16S ribosomal RNA
Rfam family: Bacterial small subunit ribosomal RNA
Source: RNAcentral